AGGAUGAACGCUGGCGGCGUGCCUAACACAUGCAAGUCGAACGUCCUGUCUCGCAAGAGGCAGGGAGUGGCGGACGGGUGAGUACCACGUGGGUCAUCUACCGUGAGGUGAGGAAUACCGGCGAGAAAUCGCCGACAAGACCGCAUAGGCUCGAUGCAAGUCGAGCAAAGCUCUUUCGAGAGAGGGAGCGCCACACGAGGAGCCUGCGCCCGAUUAGCUAGCUGGUGGAGUAACGGUUCACCAGGGCGACGAUCGGUAGCUGGUCUGAGAGGACGAUCAGCCACACUGGGAUUGAGAACGGCCCAGACUCCUACGGGGGGCAGCAGUGAGGAAUUUCGUCAAUGGGGGCAACCCUGAACGAGCAACGCCGCGUGCAGGAAGAGGUUUUCGGAUCGUAAACUGCUUUUCUCGGGGAAGAGAACGGACGGUACCCGAGGAAUCAGCCCCGGCUAACUACGUGCCAGCAGCCGC
This 471-nucleotide ribosomal RNA is filed under the name uncultured bacterium. RNAcentral describes it as "SSU rRNA". It matches the Rfam family "Bacterial small subunit ribosomal RNA", at positions 26 to 518 of the family's 1533-position model. The record is from RNAcentral.